CCUACGGGAGGCAGCAGUGGGGGAUAUUGCACAAUGGGGGAAACCCUGAUGCAGCGACGCCGCGUGGGUGAAGAAGCGCCUCGGCGCGUAAAGCCCUGUCAGCAGGGAAGAAAAUGACGGUACCUGUAGAAGAAGCCCCGGCUAACUACGUGCCAGCAGCCGCGGUAAUACGUAGGGGGCCAGCGUUAUCCGGAUUUACUGGGCGUUAAGGGGGCGCAGACGGCGAUGCAAGCCAGGAGUGAAAGCCCGGGGCCCAACCCCGGGACUGCUCUUGGAACUGCGUAGCUAGAGCGCAGGAGGGGCAGGCGGAAUUCCUGGUGUAGCGGUGAAAUGCGUAGAUAUCAGGAGGAACACCGGUGGCGAAGGCGGCCUGCUGGACUGCAACUGACGUUGAGGCCCGAAAGCGUGGGGAGCGAACAGGAUUAGAUACCCUUGUAGUC
RNAcentral lists this ribosomal RNA (440 nucleotides) under uncultured bacterium. Its description in RNAcentral is "partial 16S ribosomal RNA". It matches the Rfam family "Bacterial small subunit ribosomal RNA", at positions 338 to 795 of the family's 1533-position model. The record is from RNAcentral.